GUUGGUAAGGUAACGGCUUACCAAGGCGACGAUCAGUAGCCGACCUGAGAGGGUGAUCGGCCACAUUGGAACUGAGACACGGUCCAAACUCCUACGGGAGGCAGCAGUGGGGAAUAUUGCACAAUGGGCGAAAGCCUGAUGCAGCAACGCCGCGUGCGUGAUGAAGGCCUUCGGGUCGUAAAACUCUGUCCUCAAGGAAGAUAAUGACGGUACUUGAGGAGGAAGCCCCGGCUAACUACGUGCCAGCAGCCGCGGUAAUACGUAGGGGGCUAGCGUUAUCCGGA
This 284-nucleotide ribosomal RNA is filed under the name Clostridioides difficile. Its description in RNAcentral is "partial 16S ribosomal RNA". It matches the Rfam family "Bacterial small subunit ribosomal RNA", at positions 248 to 549 of the family's 1533-position model. The record is from RNAcentral. Lineage: Bacteria; Bacillati; Bacillota; Clostridia; Peptostreptococcales; Peptostreptococcaceae.